This 486-nucleotide ribosomal RNA is filed under the name uncultured bacterium. Its description in RNAcentral is "partial 16S ribosomal RNA". It matches the Rfam family "Bacterial small subunit ribosomal RNA", at positions 30 to 507 of the family's 1533-position model. The record is from RNAcentral.
AUUGAACGCUGGCGGCAUGCCUUACACAUGCAAGUCGAACGGCAGCACGGGUGCUUGCACCUGGUGGCGAGUGGCGAACGGGUGAGUAAUACAUCGGAACAUGUCCUGUAGUGGGGGAUAGCCCGGCGAAAGCCGGAUUAAUACCGCAUACGAUCUACGGAUGAAAGCGGGGGCCCUUCGGGCCUCGCGCUAUAGGGUUGGCCGAUGGCUGAUUAGCUAGUUGGUGGGGUAAAGGCCUACCAAGGCGACGAUCAGUAGCUGGUCUGAGAGGACGACCAGCCACACUGGGAGUGAGACACGGCCCAGACUCCUACGGGAGGCAGCAGUGGGGAAUUUUGGACAAUGGGCGAGAGCCUGAUCCAGCAAUACCGCGUGUGUGAAGAAGGCCUUCGGGUUGUAAAGCAAUGUUGUCCGGAAAGAAAUACUUGGCCCUAAUACGGUCGGGGGAUGACGGUACCGGAAGAAUAAGCACCGGCUAACUACGUG